This 502-nucleotide ribosomal RNA is filed under the name Bacteroides xylanisolvens. Its description in RNAcentral is "bacterial SSU rRNA". It matches the Rfam family "Bacterial small subunit ribosomal RNA", at positions 68 to 577 of the family's 1533-position model. Lineage: Bacteria; Pseudomonadati; Bacteroidota; Bacteroidia; Bacteroidales; Bacteroidaceae. The record is from RNAcentral.
UGCAAACUAAAGAUGGCGACCGGCGCACGGGUGAGUAACACGUAUCCAACCUGCCGAUAACUCGGGGAUAGCCUUUCGAAAGAAAGAUUAAUAUCCGAUAGUAUAUUAAAACCGCAUGGUUUUACUAUUAAAGAAUUUCGGUUAUCGAUGGGGAUGCGUUCCAUUAGUUUGUUGGCGGGGUAACGGCCCACCAAGACUACGAUGGAUAGGGGUUCUGAGAGGAAGGUCCCCCACAUUGGAACUGAGACACGGUCCAAACUCCUACGGGAGGCAGCAGUGAGGAAUAUUGGUCAAUGGACGAGAGUCUGAACCAGCCAAGUAGCGUGAAGGAUGACUGCCCUAUGGGUUGUAAACUUCUUUUAUAUGGGAAUAAAGUAUUCCACGUGUGGGAUUUUGUAUGUACCAUAUGAAUAAGGAUCGGCUAACUCCGUGCCAGCAGCCGCGGUAAUACGGAGGAUCCGAGCGUUAUCCGGAUUUAUUGGGUUUAAAGGGAGCGUAGGUG